Molecule: long non-coding RNA, 2198 nt
Organism: Vitis vinifera (wine grape)
Lineage: Eukaryota; Viridiplantae; Streptophyta; Magnoliopsida; Vitales; Vitaceae
Exons: 2
Source: RefSeq, a predicted model, not a curated record
GAAAGGUUGGAAUUGGAAACAAAGAGUCGUGAUAGGCCAAACGCUGUCGAGCCUUAAAGAAAGGUCCAACAGUUGCCCAAAACCAAUUGGGGGUACAAAAUCCAAAACAGCGCAUAAUCUGACCCCGGAAAAGAGUCGGCGUUCCGAAUUAGAACCACAGCUUGAAUCGAGGAAAGUCACCACAUCUUCCUCAACCUGGCGAAAUUGUUUGGUGAGGGUACUCAGUUUUCAAAAUCCGUUUUUCUGAUUUCGAGUGCCUUUUUUUUUCCGUUCUAUAUUGUUUUUGUUUCUGAUGCCUUUGGAAUUAGAGUGCCUUCUUUUUUAUUCUCAAUGUUGUCUAUUUUGAUUCCCAGUUAUGUGAUCUGUUCAUUUCUUCAUUGGAACAUCUACGGGUGUUUUAUUUUUUGAGUUGCAUGCCAAUUAAGUCAGUCAAUUGAACUUUUGCAUUUAUUUUAUCUCCCUUCAUUUCCUGAGUUUGCCCUUUGCUCCGUUUGUUUCUGAAAGUGUGGUUGCCUUUUCUGUCAAGGGUAUGUUUGGCUCUUGAGAAAGAAUGGGGAAAGGAAAGGAAAAUGAUGAAAUUAGAUUGAACAAAGAAUCCAAAUUUCCUUCAUUGCCUGGUUCUGUCUGAGAUCCGAACCUAGCCUAAGAGCCCAUAUAUUUCUAGGGAUAUUUUGCUCUAAAGUGGAUCGAAAUUCUCAUUCAUAUGUAUGUUUCAAUUGGCUCUUUGGAAUAAAAAAGAUCUGGUUCACAGACCAGAGGAAAUCAUCUUCUUUUGUAUUGGGUUUUGGUUUAUCAAGUCCCACACCAUUUUCAGCAUGUAUAGAUGAAGCAAUGCUUAGAAGGUGAGUCAACUCUGCCACAGAUUUCAAGAUUUGCUAUGCUAUAUUUUCAUAGAAAAUACAUCCUUUAUAGAGAAUGCUACACCGUUAUAAAGUAGGGCCCUGGUAUUAGUCUGAUUUGGAACAACAGCACUUGAUCUUCUGGUCCUUAAUCAAAUAUUUAUCUCAGUAGGGGUAGUUUCUUAUUUGUCAUCUUGUCUUUCCCAUAUAACAUCUCAAACAGAUGGUCCUCUAAGCUUCUUAGGUCCUCGAAUUGUCACCAUGAGGACUUAGUGGAUGAAAUGAAAGAAGACUCAAAUGUAUCAGAAAUUUAUUAUAGAUUGUGGCCUCAUCGAGAUUGUGCAAAUUGUAAUUUCAGAAUAUUGAUCACACCCUUAUUCAAUAUUUUGCCUUAUAUUUGUUGUGAUUAUAUAGAUUGAAUAGCUUUUCAGGCUUGCAUGUGGCCAAUGUCAGCAUUGAAUUCAGGCAAAAACCUUUUGGAUGCCACUACAUCGGUAUUCUAAAUAUAGUCAAAGUAUGCUACUUGGUUUUGAACCACUUGUUGAAAUGAAACAACUACAAUUAUAUGGUGGUUGGUAGGCAACAGGAGGUUUAGUCUUUUGUAAUAGUUUCAUUUAUGGAUGAUUUGUGUCAUUACUAUUCGAUGCCCAACUUCAAAAGAAAGCUCAACAAAGGGAGCAAAUGUCAUUUUCAAUGGAGAUUUGAAGGCAGAAAGGGGAAGACUUCAAGCUCAUUUUCAAGUAUCAGCAUCAACUAAAUGAAGAGUACCUGGAAAUGGUGGCAAGGUCUCUUGAUGAGUGGGAUAUAACCAGAAAGUUGGUCGGUUAUUUCUCAACUCCAGGGCUGCCCCAUCUCAUGGGGAUGUGACUUUCCUGCCAAUUUGGUUUACGCCAAUGUUCCAAGGGUCCCGUAUUAUGAAUACUGAAUAUAAAAGGACCUUGUUCUAGCUACAGUUCAAUAAAGAAAUAUGCCGACGAAUUUUUGUGGAAAGGGGUAUGUGCUGCCCAUUCUCCUCUGUUCUUUGGAUUUAGAAGUUCAAGAAAUGCAGCCUGCUAGUGUGAAAAGGAGUCUAUAGAAAUCUUAACCUUGACUUCAAGCUAAACACCAAUAGCUAGAGUUCACAUGCGGAAAAGUGUUCAAUGAACUUGCAAAUACAGAACCCGAAAAAUUUAAAACAUGACCCUACACCAGGGAGUCUGCAGUGCCUGAUGGUCUGUUCUCUACAACCCUAUGAACAAUAGGUUCAACAAUAGAUUUAAAUUCCCUUUUGUAUACUACCCGUUGACUCUUUAUGCAUUAGCAAAACAUUUUUCUGCUUGCACCAUUGCUGUAGUCAAUUAUAAAGUUCCUGUUCCGUUA